AGUGGGUUGGAUGGUGCCCACCGCGGUGGUGAGGGUGAUCUUCUUUACUCCAUCCACCCAUCCAAAUGCUGAUCUCCUCCAGAAAUGCCCUCACAGACAUGCCCAGAAAUAAUGUUUCACCAGCUACCUGGGCAUUCCUUAGCCCAGUCGAGCUGACAUGUAAAAUCAACCGUCACAAAUAACUGCAUUUGAAGGGUAAAAGCCCCAUGUCUCCUCGGCCAGUGGGUGUUUAUCAGAGGACAAUGGAAAAGAGGGACAAAGAUGCCUGGAUAUAACAUUAAGAGUUGGCAGGACCCGACCUCUAAAAGGAAGUGUUAAAACAAUGUUUUUGACAUCAAGGCUUUUCUCAAAGUAGAUAAAGGAGAGCUUGUGGAAAAGCUCAUGUGCUGUCUCUUCAGUGGAGAGUUCAAUCCAGGAAUAAGAUGUGAUUAAGGAUCUUGAGAUGGAGGGUUACCUUGGAUUAUCUGGGCAAAGCACUGCCCGUUUCUUCAACUCUGGAGCUGUGGAGGAGUAUUUUUUUGGGACUGGAGGCCAUACCCAUCCCUUCUCUGGGCGUGUCAUCUCCCUCUGUCUCAUGGGGAAACUCACACCAUGCACUGGAGCUUCAGCAGGAAGCACUGAUUUGGCUUCUGUUCCUGGUCCAAUCCAAGUCCCAGCAUCGUCGGCGAGAGGAAGAGCCGUUGCCAUGGACUAAAAGGCCAGUGUGCGCGGACAUCCCCUCCACCACCUCUCACGGACGGAGCGGCCCCGCAAGGCAGACAUCACAGCCUUCAGUUUACAGUGGCCACAGAUAUUCACUGAGGGCCUCUCCUGCCAUUGGCUCUGCUUGGAUGGUGAGAAAACACAGUCCCUGCCCUCGUGGUGCUCACAUUCUAGUGGAGAAGAAAGAUAAUAAACACGCAUAUAAAAUGACGCCAGGUAGUGUGAUGACGAAAAUAUGCAGAGGUUCUCCUGUCUGACUUUCCCAGCACACUGUGAACCCCGAGAGCAGGUCCUGUGGGAUCCAGCACAGAGUAUUCACGUGGUGUUAGGUGGUGAAUGAAUGAACAGUUGAAAGGAGCAUUCGUUGGACCUCUAACUAUCUUCCCAGUCUUCCCAGCACUGGAGGAUGUAAAAGAAAUAAGAGCUAAUGUUACUUGUUACAGCUGGAAAGUUUUCUCUUCUUGAAGAAGAUCUCUGUGGUAUUUUCAGAGAUAAAAAGGAAUCUUCCCUCUGACUAGAAGAUCACUGUUGGUUCAUACAGGCAGACACAUCCCUAUAAACAUCUUCUGUCUGCCGUUAAGUCACCGUUCAAGUAGAUUACCCCCCAGACACGUAAAAAAUGAUGGUUCUGUACUACAGGUUUUCAUUCCUAUUAACUUCUAUGGCAUGUGAUCUUGAACAAACAUUUGUAGUCAAUAUUUGAUAAAAAGUCCGAUUCCGUCAAGUAAACAAAGCAUUAGAAAAAAUAAUUUCAUUCCUUUGCUAAACUAAAUCCAUUAAGACUCUAACACAAGUAGAACUGGGGCCAAAGGAUAUUGGAAACAAAACAAAACAAGUGAGACUCAUUACACAUUUGCAUUUUGAAAUUAGUUGCUGCCCUAAUUAUUUGUCAGUAGAAGCAUAAAUUAGGCAAAUAAAACUUAGAGUGAGCUUUUAGGCACCCACAGGAUUCUCUCCUCAAGAGUAAAUUGUCAUAACGGUUCAGUGUGACGGUUUACUUUUGCUGUCUUUCUGUGAUGGAGGAACGACAGGAAAUUGAAAUGGAGCCCAUGGAAAUGAAACAGACUCCAGAGAAAGAGAUAGACGCAGGUGGGUACUUGUGGUUUCCCCUGUAAGGUGUGGGUAGGUAAAAACAAAUAAACCAAGCAUGUUGGGACCAGGAGCUGCUUUGGAAAUAUUACCUAUUAAGUGUGACUUCAUGACUCCAACGUGGAACUAAAAGAUGAAAGAUGCAGUUAGCUUGGAGCUGUUGUUCAUCUUGCUGACAUAAAUAGGAUUGAAUGAUUGGAGUAUUUGCUCUAUCUGCUUUCCCAUACACCACACCAUGUCCAUGGAGCUAGGGGCUUCUACUACAGCUGGAACGUUUCUUUCUGUUGCAUAAUUAGGCAUACAUUGUUGGUGGCCUCUCUCAAAAGCUAUGAAACAGCACAAUGAUGCUAAGUAACAAACAGCUCCAAAUCCCAGUGACUUAAAUCAACCCCUACUUUUGCUUGCACUCCAGGGCUUUGGGUCAGCUGUGGCUCAGCUGAACCGGGCUGGGUUCUGUUGGGUAGCUCUCCUCCAGGUACAUUCCACAGGUGUGCGGGCCAGUUGGGACAACCCUGCGUCAGGCUGCAGGUGGAGCUCAGGUCUGUUUCAUCUGCCUCUCAUUCUGCAAGGAUCGUUGGAGGGCUUAGAGCUAUCUGGCCCGUGAUCUUUCCAAGGUGGAGGUGGGUGCUCUCAGAGGAGUGAGUGUGAACACGCACACCUUAGGCCUGGACUCCAAAUUGGCACGUGGCGUGUCUGCCCACGUUUUAUUGGCUAAGGGAAGUCCCGUCGUCAAGCUCAACAUCCUUGGGAUAAGAAAGC
Balaenoptera musculus (blue whale) is the source of this 2550-nucleotide long non-coding RNA. RefSeq lists it as uncharacterized. The record is from RefSeq and is a predicted model, not a curated record. The transcript has 6 exons. NCBI's taxonomy places the organism in Eukaryota, Metazoa, Chordata, Mammalia, Artiodactyla, Balaenopteridae.